CCCUACAACUAAGAGAUGAAU
This 21-nucleotide small nuclear RNA is filed under the name Arabidopsis thaliana (thale cress). Its description in RNAcentral is "snRNA_17015". Lineage: Eukaryota; Viridiplantae; Streptophyta; Magnoliopsida; Brassicales; Brassicaceae. The record is from RNAcentral.